RNAcentral lists this long non-coding RNA (753 nucleotides) under Homo sapiens (human). RNAcentral's name for it is "HSALNT0356461". The record is from RNAcentral. Lineage: Eukaryota; Metazoa; Chordata; Mammalia; Primates; Hominidae.
UGCCUCUGAGUUUUGUAAGCAGCUCUUAACUCAGGGCUUGAGAACUCCCAAAAACAGCCCAAGGCGGGAAUAAAGCGGGACUCCGGCAUCACCUGCACGGCCUAUGCAAUGUGUAACAGUAAACUCACCUGCCGGGAUAAUCGUCUAGGACAGUGGUCUCACCUGCGGGGGAGCCUUUCUCUCUACGGGACUUUCGUCAAUGUCCGGUGACAGUUGUGGCUGUCUCGGCUGGUGAGGGGAGAGGUCAGGGGCGCUGCUCAGCAUCCUACCAGGCCUGGGACAGCCCCCACAACAAAAAACCAUCUGGCCUAAAAGGUCCACGGGGCCAAGGUUGAGAAACCCUACCCUGGAGUCCAGGACAGAACCAUCAGCGAUUUCAUAGCAGGCUAUGAGGUCAGCCGGGUCUAUUUCAAAAAAUAAAAUGCAAACAGUUACAUAGGAACUUCUUUCUCUCCACUGCCUCAGCUGAACUGACAUCUAGCUAACUUUGCUAUGGUCAAGCCAGCUCUCCAAGGAUCUCUCAGCCAGGGCGGACAGAAACGGAUACCCAUGUUACUGCAUGGCCCCUGAACCUGAUGGAGUAUGACCUACUGGGCAGAGCUCAGCUCAGCUACCCCAAGAAGUAAACAGCACAGAGGGAAAGAUAAACCUUCCAGGCUUUCCGAAAGCAAUUAUCAUGUGUGGUUAUCAGAAAAUUUGUAUUCACUAUCCCGGGGGAAGGAAGCAGAGAUACAAAUAAACCCAGAAUUGAUA